RNAcentral lists this ribosomal RNA (90 nucleotides) under Aquificaceae bacterium. The record is from RNAcentral. Lineage: Bacteria; Pseudomonadati; Aquificota; Aquificia; Aquificales; Aquificaceae.
ACCUGAUCCCAUCUCGAACUCAGAAGUGAAAAGUGUCAUCGCCGAUGAUAGUGUGGGGAUUCCCCAUGUGAAAGUAGGUCAUCACCAGGU